AGAGUUUGAUCCUGGCUCAGGAUGAAUGCUGGCGGUGUGCCUUAAGCAUGCAAGUUGAACGGUAACUUAGCCUUCGGGCUAAAACGAGUGGCAGACGGGUGAGUAAUGAAUAGGAACUUACCUUCAAGUGGGGGAUAGCCAGUCGAAAGAUUGGGUAAUACCGCAUGUGAUCGCAAGAUCAAAGUCUUCGGACGCUUGAAGAGAGGCCUAUUUCCUAUCAGGUUGUUGGUGAGGUAAUGGCUCACCAAGCCUAUGACGGGUAGCCGGUGUGAGAGCACGACCGGCCACAAGGUUACUGAGACACGGAACCUACACCUACGGGUGGCAGCAACUGGGAAUAUUGCGCAAUGGACGGAAGUCUGACGCAGCGACACCGCGUGUGGGAAGAAGCUUUUCGGAGUGUAACCCACUGUGGCAGGGGAGCAAAAUUUGAGGGUACCCUGCUAAAAAGCACCUGCUAACUACGUGCCAAAACCCUCGGUAAUACGUAGGGGGCAGGCAUUAUCCGGAUUGAUUGGGCGUAAAGCGUCCGUCGGCGUCUUAUCAAGUCUUUAGUUUAAAACCAAGGCUCAAUUUUGGAAGGGCUAAAGAUACUGGUAGGAUUGAGUAUAUUAGGGGAAGCUGGAAUUCUCGGUGGAGGGGUGAAAUCCGUAGAUAUCGAGAGGAACACCAUUCCCGAAAGGCGGGUUCCUGUAAUAUAACUGACGCUCAGGAACGAAAGCUUGGGUAGCAAAAGGGAUUAGAGACCCCUGUAGUCCAAGCCGUAAACCGAUCCUUGGUAGUUGCUUGUUUCUUAGAAAUUUGUUCUGUAAGUUAAGGCGUUAAGCAAGGCGCCCUGGGAUCACGACGGCAAGGUUAAAACUCAAAGGAAUUGACGGGGGAGCGCACAACCGGUGGAGCAUGUGGUUUAAUUCGAUACAAAGCGAAAGACCUUACCUGGGUUUGACAUGUAACUGCACGCUUAGUGAAAGCUAAGUUUCUUCGAGAGUGUUACACAGGUGUUGCAUGGCUGUCGUCAGCUCGUGUCGUGAGACGUCCACUUAAGUGUGGUAACGAGCGCAACCCCUGUCGUAUGUUGCAAGUAUCAUACGAGACUGCCCGGCUGCAAGCCGGGAGGAAGGAGGGGAUGAUGUCAAGUCAGCAUGGCCCUUACGUCCAGGGCUACACACAUCCUACAAUGGAGCCGACAACGGGUCGCGACGGGGUAACCCUGAGCCAAUCCUAUAAACGGCCCCUCAGUUCAGAUUGAGGGCUGCAAUUUGCCCUCAUGAAGCCGGAAUCGGUAGUAAUCGCAGAUCAGCAGGCUGCGGUGAAUACGUUCUCGCUUCUUGUACACACUGCCCGUCAAGCCAGCAAAGUCGGCAGCGCCCGAAGCGGGUGACCCAAACUCACAAGUGGGAGGCCCGUCUACGGUGAGGUCGGCGAUGAGGACUAAGUCGUAACAAGGUAGCCGUA
This 1455-nucleotide ribosomal RNA is filed under the name uncultured bacterium. RNAcentral describes it as "bacterial SSU rRNA". It matches the Rfam family "Bacterial small subunit ribosomal RNA". The record is from RNAcentral.